AUCAAAAACAUCGCCUGUUGAAUAUAUAACAGGUACUUCCUGCCCGGUGAAAAAUUUUUUUAACGGCCGCGGUAUUUUGACCGUGCAAAGGUAGCAUAAUCAUUUGCCUUUUAAUUGAAGGCUCGUAUGAAAGGACACACAAGAAUAAAACUGUCUCAUUUGGACAACUAAAAACUAAUAUUAAGGUGAAGAAGCCUUGAUUAAUAUAAAGGACAAGAAGACCCUAUAGAGCUUCAUUAGUAAAAGUCAUUAUACUUAUAACUAAUUUGGUUGGGGCAACCAAAAGACAAACACACCUCUUUCAAUUAAAAUACACGCUUACCCGUACACGAACUAGAAUUAAGCUACCUUAGGGAUAACAGGCUAAUCCUACUAGAGAGACCACAUUGACAGUAGGGGUUGGCACCUCGAUGUUGGCUUAGUGUAACUAUUGGGCGCAGCCGCCCAAUAAAGUUGGUUUGUUCAACCAUUAAUUCACUACAUGAUCUGAGUUCAGAC
RNAcentral lists this ribosomal RNA (498 nucleotides) under Perinereis sp. DUZM_BT_006. RNAcentral's name for it is "partial large subunit ribosomal RNA". It matches the Rfam family "Bacterial large subunit ribosomal RNA", at positions 1806 to 2616 of the family's 2925-position model. The record is from RNAcentral. Lineage: Eukaryota; Metazoa; Annelida; Polychaeta; Phyllodocida; Nereididae.